This 301-nucleotide ribosomal RNA is filed under the name uncultured bacterium. RNAcentral describes it as "partial 16S ribosomal RNA". It matches the Rfam family "Bacterial small subunit ribosomal RNA", at positions 509 to 807 of the family's 1533-position model. The record is from RNAcentral.
CAGCCGCCACGGUAAUGCGUAGGGGGCAAGCGUUAUCCGGAUUUACUGGGUGUAAAGGGAGCGCAGACGGCCAAGCAAGUCUGAAGUGAAAUGCAUGGGCUCAACCCAUGAAUUGCUUUGGAAACUGUUAGGCUUGAGUGUCGGAGGGGUAAGCGGAAUUCCUAGUGUAGCGGUGAAAUGCGUAGAUAUUAGGAGGAACACCGGAGGCGAAGGCGACUUUCUGGACGAAAACUGACGCUGAGGCGCGAAAGCCAGGGGAGCGAACGGGAUUAGAUACCCCUGUAGUCCCUGUCUCUUAUAC